UCCGAGGUCGUCUAAUCGGUAAGACGCCGCGCUCUGGUCGCGGCAAUCGAGGUUCGAAUCCUUGCCCCGGAGCC
Molecule: transfer RNA, 74 nt
Filed under: Mycobacteroides abscessus subsp. abscessus
Lineage: Bacteria; Bacillati; Actinomycetota; Actinomycetes; Mycobacteriales; Mycobacteriaceae
Description: tRNA-Gln(ctg)
Rfam family: tRNA
About the family: Transfer RNA (tRNA) molecules are approximately 80 nucleotides in length. Their secondary structure includes four short double-helical elements and three loops (D, anti-codon, and T loops).
Source: RNAcentral